This 454-nucleotide unclassified non-coding RNA is filed under the name Hevea brasiliensis (rubber tree). The record is from RNAcentral. Lineage: Eukaryota; Viridiplantae; Streptophyta; Magnoliopsida; Malpighiales; Euphorbiaceae.
GGACAAUUAAAAUUUGAUUCCAAAAGUACAGCAUACAGAACAAAGAUGAAAGGAAUUCAAUGUCAGUUCCUUUCCUAAAACAUUGCAUAUGCUUUUAGAAUUACAGCAUACAUGCUCAAGUUAACAUAAUUAGAUCAAGAAGCACGAUAGUAUACAGAAAGGUUCCAUGAUCUUUCUUCAUUUGCAUCUUGUCAAUGCAUUUGCAAAUCAUGAAGUUCAAAUAGCAAAUAAGAUCCCCCUUCCUCAGUUUCACAAAUAGUAUCUUCUUCAAAAAGGCCAUAUUUAAACAAGAAUCUAGACCUCACCACUUAGUCAUUGUUCGUUCUCCAAACUGAGCUCAUUUUGUGCGUAUUUGUAUCAACUAGUAGUUUGGUAUAUAUACACAUGUAGCUCCAUACGACAAGUAUGUAAAUGUCUGUGUACAUAAUUUCACAUUCUAUCGAUUGCAAUUUUU